UGCUCAUUUUUUCACAAAGCACUCUCUCUCUCUCUCUCCCUUUUCUGCAAACUCUCCACACCCUCUCUUUUAUUCAUUGCCGUUACAAAAUAAAAUUCUCUCUUUUAUUUUGGAGCUUGAUCUUGAUUUCGUAAGUUAGUUCAUCAUCAUCGACACAUAGUAGAAGAUCACCGAGAUAACUCCAAAUCAAGUCACUCAAAAGGUUUGUACCGUGAAGAGAAUACAUAAGACCUUCAGUUGAAAAAGCACAAGAAGAGAAGAAAUAAAUCAUUGAUUAGCUUUAUUUCCAGGGAAAGUUGUAAAAGUUUCAUGGGAAAAAGUUUGUAGGCCUAUCAAAGAAGGAAGUCUUGGAAUUAGAAGCUUAUCAAAAUUGAAUGAGGCUUUAAAUUUGAAGCUUUGUUGGGACAUGAUGAUUUCAAAGGAGCAAUGGUAUGCAUUUAUGAGACAUAAUAGAGCUUUGUUGGGACAUAUAGAUUUUAUGUGCAGUCUUUGUUUUAAAAGUUUUGAAUCCACUCAUCACUUAUUUUUUGAGUGCUCAGUUUCUGUUCAAAUUUGGGAUUGGUUCAGCAAUCUCAUCAAUUUGAAUUUUCACAUCAACAAUACUGAUGAUUUAUGGAGGAUUUGUGAUAGAGAGGUUGGGGCCGCCAACGUAAGUUGGUUGUCAUUGCUGCUGUCAUCAACAUUGUGAACACUGUUUGGUAUACAAGGAACCAAUUUAGAUUUAACAAUGUAAUGUAAAGCCUAAAACUUUUCGAUCUACAGUUUCCAUCAUUGAAGUUAUUUCGAUGCCUCUAUUUUUCUCUUUAACAAAAUGCAACACUGAUGAAACAGCUUCUGGUAGUCUA
Molecule: long non-coding RNA, 845 nt
Organism: Medicago truncatula (barrel medic)
Lineage: Eukaryota; Viridiplantae; Streptophyta; Magnoliopsida; Fabales; Fabaceae
Exons: 3
Source: RefSeq, a predicted model, not a curated record